RNAcentral lists this long non-coding RNA (912 nucleotides) under Cricetulus griseus (Chinese hamster). RNAcentral describes it as "lncRNA (ENSCGRG00015035268.1)". Lineage: Eukaryota; Metazoa; Chordata; Mammalia; Rodentia; Cricetidae. The record is from RNAcentral.
GGGGAAGUGGCUACAGGGGGGAAAAAUGUGUUACUAAAUGCUCUGUAUUUUGAAGGCUGAACUGAUAUCAGCGGACCACAGUGACAAAUUAGGUGAUGUGUGAUGGGGGCGGUCCUUCUGUGUGUAUGAUUGUCUCAUUGGUUGAUAAAUAAAGUACUGUUGCCCAAUAGGAAAACAAGAUAGGUGGGACUAGGAGUCAAGGAGGAUUCUGGGAAAGGUAGGAGAAAGUGCAGAGUCACCAUGUGAGGCCAGGAAGACAGGACGCUUCCGCUGGCAUCCGAUAAGAUGGUGGCAGACGGAACUUUCGUGGCCGGGCAGAAAGCACCCAUGUGGCAGCAGGGCUCCGGUGGCUCUGGAGUAAAGACUUAUUGUUACAGGUGUGUCGUGAGAAUUCGUGCUACACGAUCUGACAGUCUGGGCAGUGGAGGAGAGGAUGGCCUAGAAGCCCUUCCCCUAGAAUGAGAUUGAUGACUACUCUCUAUGCUAUGGAGAGUCCUCAUCCAGUGGCUAAUGGAAGCAGAGACACAGAAAUACACUGAGCUGAAAUCUGGAACCUAGUUGAAGAGAGGGAGGAAUGAAGAACGAAGGGGUCUGUACCAGGUUGGAGAAACCCACAGAAACAGUUGGCCUGAAAAAGGGAAAGCAUAUCGACCCCAGACGCUCUUUGGGAGGCCAGUACGGGACUAAUCCAGCCCCCUGAUCAUGGAUGCCAAUGGGGAGGCCCCUGCACUCCUGGGAGCCUCCGGAGGUGGACUGGCGUUUUGCCCUGGUGUGUGUGGGGGACUUCGAGAGCCCAUCCCACUUGAAGGGAUGCACUCUGUCUCUGAACACAUGGGGAGGGACCUAGGCCCAGCACAGGAAGAUUUGGUGGACUUGGUGGAGCCCCGGUUGGGGGCCCUACCCUGCCUGGGG